This 482-nucleotide ribosomal RNA is filed under the name uncultured bacterium. Its description in RNAcentral is "partial 16S ribosomal RNA". It matches the Rfam family "Bacterial small subunit ribosomal RNA", at positions 30 to 507 of the family's 1533-position model. The record is from RNAcentral.
AUUGAACGCUGGCGGCAUGCUUUACACAUGCAAGUCGAACGGUAACAGGCCGCAAGGUGCUGACGAGUGGCGAACGGGUGAGUAAUGCAUCGGAACGUGCCCAGUCUUGGGGGAUAACUACUCGAAAGAGUAGCUAAUACCGCAUACGAUCUAUGGAUGAAAGCGGGGGACCGUAAGGCCUCGCGCGAUUGGAGCGGCCGAUGUCAGAUUAGGUAGUUGGUGGGGUAAAGGCUCACCAAGCCAACGAUCUGUAGCUGGUCUGAGAGGACGACCAGCCACACUGGGACUGAGACACGGCCCAGACUCCUACGGGAGGCAGCAGUGGGGAAUUUUGGACAAUGGGCGCAAGCCUGAUCCAGCAAUGCCGCGUGCAGGAAGAAGGCCUUCGGGUUGUAAACUGCUUUUGUACGGAACGAAACGGCUCUGGUUAAUACCCGGGGCUAAUGACGGUACCGUAAGAAUAAGCACCGGCUAACUACGUG